CAUACCACCCUGAACAUGCCCAGUCUCUGUGAUCUGGGAAGCUAAGCAGGGUUGGGUCAGGUUAGUACUUUGACGGGAGAGAAGUACACAUUUAAAAAAAAA
RNAcentral lists this ribosomal RNA (102 nucleotides) under Neogale vison (American mink). Lineage: Eukaryota; Metazoa; Chordata; Mammalia; Carnivora; Mustelidae. The record is from RNAcentral.